UACGUAGGGGGCAAGCGUUGUCCGGAAUCAUUGGGCGUAAAGAGCGUGUAGGCGGCCCGGUAAGUCCGCUGUGAAAGUCCAGGGCUCAACCCUGGGAUGCCGGUGGAUACUGUCGGGCUCGAGUCCGGAAGAGGAGUGUGGAAUUCCUGGUGUAGCGGUGAAAUGCGCAGACAUCAGGAGGAACACCAAUGGCGAAGGCAGCACUCUGGGACGUGACUGACGCUGAGACGCGAAAGCGUGGGGAGCAAACAGG
Molecule: ribosomal RNA, 253 nt
Filed under: uncultured bacterium
Lineage: Bacteria
Description: partial 16S ribosomal RNA
Rfam family: Bacterial small subunit ribosomal RNA
Source: RNAcentral